UCUAACCCUGCCACAUAGUUAUAUGUUCUAA
RNAcentral lists this non-coding RNA (31 nucleotides) under Homo sapiens (human). Lineage: Eukaryota; Metazoa; Chordata; Mammalia; Primates; Hominidae. The record is from RNAcentral.